UACGUAGGGUGCUAGCGUUGGUCGGAAUCAUUGGGCGUAAAGCGCGUGUAGGUGGCUGUGUAAGUCGAAUGUGAAAUCCCUGGGCUCAACCGAGGAAGUGCAUUCGAAACUACAUAGCUCGAGGACGGUAGAGGAAGGUGGAAUUCCAAAAGUAGAGGUGAAAUUCGUAGAUAUUUGGAGGAAUACCGGCGGCGAAGGCGGCCUUCUGGGCCGUUCCUGACACUGAGACGCGAAAGCGUGGGUAGCAAACAGG
Molecule: ribosomal RNA, 253 nt
Filed under: uncultured bacterium
Lineage: Bacteria
Description: partial 16S ribosomal RNA
Rfam family: Bacterial small subunit ribosomal RNA
Source: RNAcentral